This 829-nucleotide ribosomal RNA is filed under the name uncultured bacterium. RNAcentral's name for it is "bacterial SSU rRNA". It matches the Rfam family "Bacterial small subunit ribosomal RNA", at positions 57 to 862 of the family's 1533-position model. The record is from RNAcentral.
GCGAGCGGAACCACAGAUUUACUUCGGUAAUGACGUUGGGAAAGCGAGCGGCGGAUGGGUGAGUAACACGUGGGGAACCUGCCCCUAAGUCUGGGAUACCAUUUGGAAACAGGUGCUAAUACCGGAUAAUAAAGCAGAUCGCAUGAUCAGCUUUUGAAAGGCGGCGUAAGCUGUCGCUAAGGGAUGGCCCCGCGGUGCAUUAGCUAGUUGGUAAGGUAACGGCUUACCAAGGCGACGAUGCAUAGCCGAGUUGAGAGACUGAUCGGCCACAUUGGGACUGAGACACGGCCCAAACUCCUACGGGAGGCAGCAGUAGGGAAUCUUCCACAAUGGACGCAAGUCUGAUGGAGCAACGCCGCGUGAGUGAAGAAGGUUUUCGGAUCGUAAAGCUCUGUUGUUGGUGAAGAAGGAUAGAGGUAGUAACUGGCCUUUAUUUGACGGUAAUCAACCAGAAAGUCACGGCUAACUACGUGCCAGCAGCCGCGGUAAUACGUAGGUGGCAAGCGUUGUCCGGAUUUAUUGGGCGUAAAGCGAGCGCAGGCGGAAAAAUAAGUCUAAUGUGAAAGCCCUCGGCUUAACCGAGGAACUGCAUCGGAAACUGUUUUUCUUGAGUGCAGAAGAGGAGAGUGGAACUCCAUGUGUAGCGGUGGAAUGCGUAGAUAUAUGGAAGAACACCAGUGGCGAAGGCGGCUCUCUGGUCUGCAACUGACGCUGAGGCUCGAAAGCAUGGGUAGCGAACAGGAUUAGAUACCCUGGUAGUCCAUGCCGUAAACGAUGAGUGCUAAGUGUUGGGAGGUUUCCGCCUCUCAGUGCUGCAGCUAACGCAUUA